Molecule: ribosomal RNA, 429 nt
Filed under: Actinomycetes bacterium
Lineage: Bacteria; Bacillati; Actinomycetota; Actinomycetes
Description: Actinobacteria bacterium partial 16S ribosomal RNA
Rfam family: Bacterial small subunit ribosomal RNA
Source: RNAcentral
UAGGGAAUCUUCCGCAAUGGGCGAAAGCCUGACGGAGCAACGCCGCGUGAGUGAUGAAGGUCUUCGGAUCGUAAAACUCUGUUAUUAGGGAAGAACAAAUGUGUAAGUAACUAUGCACGUCUUGACGGUACCUAAUCAGAAAGCCACGGCUAACUACGUGCCAGCAGCCGCGGUAAUACGUAGGUGGCAAGCGUUAUCCGGAAUUAUUGGGCGUAAAGCGCGCGUAGGCGGUUUUUUAAGUCUGAUGUGAAAGCCCACGGCUCAACCGUGGAGGGUCAUUGGAAACUGGAAAACUUGAGUGCAGAAGAGGAAAGUGGAAUUCCAUGUGUAGCGGUGAAAUGCGCAGAGAUAUGGAGGAAAACCAGUGGCGAAGGCGACUUUCUGGUCUGUAACUGACGCUGAUGUGCGAAAGCGUGGGGAUCAAACGGG